GUGAAUGUCAUCACAUGUCAGAUGCUGUGAUUUAUGCAUUAAGCUUCAUGCACUUCUCCUGGUCCCAUUGACAAUAAUGGCAAAAUUCCCACUGAGGAGGCUCAGAUCCCAAACUGGCAGUCAGGGAUCAACUGUCUUCAUUCCCAUAAACCUUCCAUCAUUUGUGCCGAAUUUUUGAUCCCCACAUGAGUUGUCUAUUUCAUGGUUCAGAGAAACUGGCUUAUAGAAGACAAAGGCUGAAACAAAAAUCCCAGAUCUGAAUACCCCCAAACUCUGGGAUGUUCAAAAUCUAGAUUGGGGCAUUACCACGUGUUGAUCGUCCUAUGUCUCAGUACUGUUUCUAGUGCCCUUCUGACUCAACGGUAUUCCUGAGAUCAAAAAUCAUCCUUUAAUCCAUGUCUGAUGAUUGGAAAAGUGUUAUCACCUUUCUAUGGAGAAAGAUAAUA
Molecule: long non-coding RNA, 446 nt
Organism: Trachemys scripta elegans
Lineage: Eukaryota; Metazoa; Chordata; Testudines; Emydidae
Exons: 3
Source: RefSeq, a predicted model, not a curated record